CUCGUAGGUGGCCAACUAAGUCAGACGUGAAAUCCCUCGGCUUAACCGGGGAACUGCGUCUGAUACUGGAUGGCUUGAGUUCGGGAGAGGGAUGCGGAAUUCCAGGUGUAGCGGUGAAAUGCGUAGAUAUCUGGAGGAACACCGGUGGCGAAGGCGGCAUCCUGGACCGACACUGACACUGAGGAGCGAAAGCCAGGGGAGCAAACG
This 207-nucleotide ribosomal RNA is filed under the name uncultured bacterium. RNAcentral's name for it is "partial 16S ribosomal RNA". It matches the Rfam family "Bacterial small subunit ribosomal RNA", at positions 568 to 774 of the family's 1533-position model. The record is from RNAcentral.